UACGGAGGGUCCGAGCGUUAAUCGGAAUUACUGGGCGUAAAGCGUGCGCAGGCGGUUUGUUAAGCGAGAUGUGAAAGCCCUGGGCUCAACCUAGGAAUAGCAUUUCGAACUGGCGAACUAGAGUCUUGUAGAGGGGGUAGAAUUCCAGGUGUAGCGGUGAAAUAGCGUAGAGAUCUGGAGGAAUACCGGUGGCGAAGGCGGCCCCCUCGGACAAAGAACUGACGCUCAUGCACGAAAGACGUGGGGAGGCAAACAAGGAUUAGAUACCCCGGUACGGU
Molecule: ribosomal RNA, 278 nt
Filed under: uncultured bacterium
Lineage: Bacteria
Description: partial 16S ribosomal RNA
Rfam family: Bacterial small subunit ribosomal RNA
Source: RNAcentral